GCUCCGAUGGGUCAAUGGUAGACCGGCCUGAAGGUUUCUGUGUUGUAUAUCUGACUUGGCAGGCAGAUGCGGGUUCGACUCCCGCUUGGAUCA
Molecule: non-coding RNA, 93 nt
Organism: Mycena galopus ATCC 62051
Lineage: Eukaryota; Fungi; Basidiomycota; Agaricomycetes; Agaricales; Mycenaceae
Source: the annotation of a GenBank genome assembly